CUUUUGGAGAGGGACAACCACUGGAAACGGUGGCUAAUACCUCAUAUGCUGAGAAGUGAAAUGAUGAAUAAUCGCCAAAGAGAUGAGCUUGCGGCUGAUUAGCUUGUUGGUGAGGUAAAGGCUCACCAAGGCCAUGAUCAGUAGCUGGUCUGAGAGGAUGAGCAGCCACACUGGGACUGAGGCACGGCCCAGACUCCUACGGGAGGCAGCAGUGAGGAAUUUUCCGCAAUGGGCGAAAGCCUGACGGAGCAAUACCGCGUGAAGGAUGACGGCCUAUGGGUUGUAAACUUCUUUUCUCAGAAAAGAAUAUCUGACGGUAUCUGAGGAAUAAGCAUCGGCUAACUCUGUGCCAGCAGCCGCGGUAAGACAGAGGAUGCAAGCGUUAUCCGGAAUGAUUGGGCGUAAAGCGUCUGUAGGUGGUUUAUCAAGUCUUGUGUCAAAUCCUAGGGCUUAACCCUGGUAAGGCAGAAGAAACUGAUAGACUUGAGUUCGGUAGGGGCAGAGGGAAUUCCCGGUGGAGCGGUGAAAUGCGUAGAGAUCGGGAGGAACACCAAAGGCGAAGGCACUCUGCUGGGCCUUGACUGACACUGAGAGACGAAAGCGAGGGGAGCG
RNAcentral lists this ribosomal RNA (612 nucleotides) under uncultured eukaryote. RNAcentral describes it as "bacterial SSU rRNA". It matches the Rfam family "Bacterial small subunit ribosomal RNA", at positions 130 to 770 of the family's 1533-position model. The record is from RNAcentral.